AGAAAAGUUAAAAUGUAAAUUGAGGAAUGUAGUGAUUGUUGUGUUGUUUUGUUAAGUUUCCUUAUAUGUGAUUUGUUAUUUAUGCAUAGAAACAAGUCAGGUUCUAAGGAUUUAUUAUUAUUGUAAAUUAUUUAUUUAUUGAUCACGGCUUGUAGAUUGAAAUAUGGCUUAUAAGAUUGUUGAAUCUUCUCCAAAGAUUUUUAGUAAGGACUUGAACUUAACCCAGAUAACUGUACAGUACAGCUAUUUCUACUUGCAAUUGUCACAAAAUUGAAUAUUUAUUAUUUGAGGUCCAGUUGAGGUGUUGGGAAAGUUGAAAAAUACUCAUAUAUUAGGGGGGAAAAUGAUGCUAUUGCUAUAUGCAAUCCUUUCCUUCUAAUUGGAAACUCAACCAUUUUCAUAACUACAUAUUUUCUGAAACAUUUAUCAAUUAAUGUAAAAAAUAUUAUUGUUUCUCUUCAUUUCUUGUUAAUUAUAUAACUUUUGAGAUUUUUAUGUAUGUUGGAUUGCAAGAGAAACAUGUAAUAUGAUAUAUCCAUUUACUGAAGCAGAUUUGUAUAUCUUGAGCUUAUCUUGUAUAGUAAAAUGUAAUAACUGUUUUU
Molecule: long non-coding RNA, 602 nt
Filed under: Mytilus galloprovincialis (Mediterranean mussel)
Lineage: Eukaryota; Metazoa; Mollusca; Bivalvia; Mytilida; Mytilidae
Source: RNAcentral